UCUAUUAAAAGAUAACGCAGGUGUCCUAAGAUGAGCUCAACGAGAACAAAAAUCUCGUGUGGAAUAAAAGGGUAAAAGCUCAACCUAUUCUCAAACUUUAAAUAGGUAGGACGACACGACUGCUUCGUUGAGCCAGGCCACGGAAUCGAGAUCUCCAAGUGGGCCAUUUUUGGUAAGCAGAACUGGCGAUGCGGGAUGAACCGGAAGCCAGGUUACGUUGCCCAACUGCUCGCUAACCUAGAACCCAUAAAGGGUGUUAGUCGAUUAAGACAGCAGGACGGUGGUCAUGGAAGUCGAAAUCCACUGAGGAGUGUGUAACAACUCACCUGCUGAAUCAACUAGCCUCGAAAAUGGAUGGCGCUUAUGCACGCGACUUAUACCCGACCGUCGGGGUAAGAGCCAGGCCCCGAUGAGUAGGAGGGCACGACGGUCACUGCAAAACCCAGGGCGCGAGCCCGGGCGUACCGGCCAUUGGUG
Ricinus communis (castor bean) is the source of this 477-nucleotide non-coding RNA. Lineage: Eukaryota; Viridiplantae; Streptophyta; Magnoliopsida; Malpighiales; Euphorbiaceae. The record is from Rfam.